Molecule: long non-coding RNA, 648 nt
Organism: Pungitius pungitius (ninespine stickleback)
Lineage: Eukaryota; Metazoa; Chordata; Actinopteri; Perciformes; Gasterosteidae
Exons: 4
Source: RefSeq, a predicted model, not a curated record
UCCGACACUGUAGCUUUAAGUUGUUCCUCUUGUUCCGUUGAAUAACAACAUUCUAAAGGCGGGGUUACAAUAGUUUACUUUCACUUUGAUUCUCGUGUCGCAGUUUGUCUUUCACCAACCAAGCUCAGAGCUACAUUGGACACCACACUGUGCAGAACACACAGGGAUCAUGGAGGAACCAUUGUCGGGGCCGAGAGUCACCACUGUAACAUCCAAUUCACAAGGCCGCCACAUCAAUUUCAAAGAAAUAAUUUCCCUCAUUUUCAGAGGUCACAAGAAAACACGACUAUGCAGACACGUGGUGGAGUGACGGAUUACAGAACACCUGCUGCUUAACAACAAGAUGGCUUCUCUCUGCAGGCUGGACGUCCUGAAACAUGCUUUAUGUAACUUUUUCGGCAUGAGAAGAGGUUGAGACGAUCCAGGUGAUUAAAUAUGACUCAAUAGAAAUGUUCAUUCAUAUUUGCCACCUGCACUUGCAGCUUAAAUUGAACCACUGUCUACAGUUUAAUGAUGAAGACAAGGUUCCUCACCAGAACCUUUGGCUCCUCGUCCAAUGGGCUGAUCCUCUUCAUCAUGGGAUUCUGUCAACCUGAUCCACACUUUGUUGGAUUAUUCUCUUGGGAAUAAAAAUCAAGUGUUUCUAUA